AUACGUAGGUGGCAAGCGUUGUCCGGAAUUAUUGGGCGUAAAGCGCGCGCAGGCGGUCCUUUAAGUCUGAUGUGAAAGCCCACGGCUCAACCGUGGAGGGUCAUUGGAAACUGGGGGACUUGAGUGCAGAAGAGGAAAGUGGAAUUCCAAGUGUAGCGGUGAAAUGCGUAGAGAUUUGGAGGAACACCAGUGGGGAAGGCGACUUUCUGGUCUGUAACUGACGCUGAGGCGCGAAAGCGUGGGGAGCAAACAGGAUUAGAUACCCUGGUAGUCCACGCCGUAAACGAUGAGUGCUAAGUGUUAGGGGGUUUCCGCCCCUUAGUGCUGCAGCUAACGCAUUAAGCACUCCGCCUGGGGAGUACGGUCGCAAGACUGAAACUCAAAGGAAUUGACGGGG
This 397-nucleotide ribosomal RNA is filed under the name uncultured bacterium. Its description in RNAcentral is "partial 16S ribosomal RNA". It matches the Rfam family "Bacterial small subunit ribosomal RNA", at positions 523 to 918 of the family's 1533-position model. The record is from RNAcentral.